RNAcentral lists this ribosomal RNA (253 nucleotides) under uncultured bacterium. RNAcentral's name for it is "partial 16S ribosomal RNA". It matches the Rfam family "Bacterial small subunit ribosomal RNA", at positions 524 to 776 of the family's 1533-position model. The record is from RNAcentral.
UACGGGGGGGGCAAGCGUUGUUCGGAAUUACUGGGCGUAAAGGGCUCGUAGGCGGCCAACUAAGUCAUACGUGAAAUCCCACGGCUCAACCGUGGAAGUGCACUCGAAACUGCAUAGCUAGAGUCCUGGAGAGGAAGGUGGAAUGCUUGGUGUAGAGGUGAAAUUCGUAGAUAUCAAGCGGAACACCGGUGGCGAAGGCGGCCUUCUGGACAGUGACUGACGCUGAGACGCGAAAGCGUGGGGAGCAAACAGG